AUGAUGGGAGGAGGGGUGGCGAUGAUGGAUCGGCGCAUGGCGUUCCCCGCCGACGGCGACGUCGAGAAGGGCUUCGGGUUCUUUGGAGCCGGCUGCUUCGUGGGGGCGGGCGACCUCGCGGACCCCGCGCCGGAGCAGCGGGCGCGGGACAGGUUCCCCGACGAGGAGGAGAGCGAGGAGGAGGACGACGACGACGACGUGGACGGCAUCGAGGAGCUGGAGCGCCGCAUGUGGCGCGACCGCAUGAGGCUCAAGCGCCUCAAGGAGCUGCAGCAGCGGCAGAGCCAGAGGCCCGACGGCGGCGCGGCGGCGAGCAAGGGGCGGCCGAGGCGGCCGCCGUCGCAGCAGGACCAGCAGGCGCGGCGCAAGAAGAUGUCGCGCGCGCAGGACGGGAUCCUCAAGUACAUGCUCAAGAUGAUGGAGGCGUGCAGCGCGCAGGGCUUCGUCUACGGCAUCGUCCCCGAGAACGGCAAGCCCGUGGGCGGCGCCUCCGACAACCUCCGCGCCUGGUGGAAGGAGAAGGUCCGCUUCGACCGCAACGCCCCCGCGGCCAUCGCCAAGCACCGGUCCGACAACGCCGCGCCGCUCUGCGGCGGGGAAGACGGAGCGGGGGCGGCGGCCGGCCCGCGCUCCCUGCACGAGCUGCAGGACACCACGCUCGGCUCCCUGCUCUCGUCGCUCAUGCAGCACUGCGACCCGCCGCAGCGCCGGUUCCCGCUCGAGAAGGGCGUGCCGCCGCCGUGGUGGCCGCAGGGACCGUCCGAGGCGUGGUGGCCGGAGGCCGGCGUGCCCGACGACCUCGGCCCGCCGCCGUACAAGAAGCCGCACGACCUCAAGAAGGCGUGGAAGGUCGCCGUGCUCACCGCCGUCAUCAAGCACAUGUCGCCCGACGUCGACAAGGUCCGCCGCCUCGUGCGGCAGUCCAAGUGCCUGCAGGACAAGAUGACCGCCAGGGAGAUCGUCACAUGGCUCGCCGUGCUCAAGGCGGAGGAGGAGCUCAGCCACAAGCUGCAUCCCGGCGCCUGCCUCCCACCGCGGCCCUCCGCCGGCGCGCUGUCGUUCGACGCCAGCUCCGGCGAGUACGAUGUCGACUUCUUCGGCGAGGAGGCCGCGAACCAGAUCAAGGCGCGCUCCGAGGCAGCCCCGUUCGUCGACCUUACCAUGGACGCUUCCUCGAGCAACGAGUUCAUGGUCAUGCCGCCUGCGCUGAUGAAGGAAGAAACAACCACCGACGUCGACUUCACCCACGCCCAGAAGCGGAGCGCCGCCGACGCCGAGCCGGAGCUGAUGCUGAACGGAAGCGCCCGCGUCUACACCUGCGAGAACGUGCAGUGCCCGCACGCCGGCCACGCGCUCGGCUUCCUCGACCGCAACGCGCGCAGCGCCCACCAGUACACCUGCAGGUACAACAAUCCCGCCGUCGCCGCCGCCCAGAGCAAGCCGCCGUCGUCCUUCUUCCCUGGUGCGCCCUACAGCCCGCAGAGCCAGGCGCUCGGCGGCUUCGACUUCGGCCUGCCCGUGGCCGACCAGAGAUGCCUCUCCGGGCUGAUGAGCAUGUACGAGACCGGCGUGGCCGCGCACAGGGGCGCAACCAACGACGCCGACGCUCCCGGCAUGCAGCUCGGCGGCGGCAACGUUCUGGCGCCACGCUCGCUUGCUGGCGCGAACAACGUGAUGCAGCAGCAGCAGCAGCAGCAGCAGCAGAGCGCGGCGUUCUUCAUGGGCGACGACGCGCCGUUCGGCAUGGCGGCGCCGGAGCUGGGCAGGUUCGGCCCAGGGUUCGACCUGUCAGCGGCGGACUACGCCGGCGCCAUGCAGCAGCCGCAGCCGCAGAAGCACGUUGGACCCAACUGGUUCUACUGA
This 1863-nucleotide ribosomal RNA is filed under the name Triticum aestivum (bread wheat). RNAcentral describes it as "partial small subunit ribosomal RNA". Lineage: Eukaryota; Viridiplantae; Streptophyta; Magnoliopsida; Poales; Poaceae. The record is from RNAcentral.